UAUAAUUUCUCUGGCAGGAGGCUGCUGGGAGAGAAACAUGUGUGGUAGCAGGCAACCCACUCGGGCAGACAGGACGAAAGGAGAAGAUUGCAUGCGUGCUGUUUUUUGAGCAACUUGAGACGAACAGAUCAAUCAACCACUGCUGCCUUACACGACACUACAUACUUGCACAGUCCUGCAAGCAAGCAAGCAAGAACGAAAGGAGGAAUGGAAGAAGAAACUCUGAAGAGGAAGCACGGUUGGACAAAGCUAGGAAGGAGCUGAGCAAUUCAGGCUUACAUGCUAGCUAAUGAAGCACCAUGGAUGACAUCUCAACGGUACACCAGCCUUUACACCACGGUUACAUACAAAGACAGAUAUACAUAUAUACAGAAACACGCCACAGAUUUCUCCCUUCCUUGUAGCACAUACAGUUGUUUGAGCUCCGGGGAAGCAAUGGUAGGCCAUUGGGCAACUCCGGGUUUCAUGUCAGUAAGGGAUGCACACUCCAAUGCAUGGCCAGUUGGCCACUGACAGUAGCACAAAUAGUUGUUCGGGCAUGAACAUACUCUGAAACGACUGGAUUUUUACUUAAAUGUACCAAAUGGCCUCUUGAUAAA
Molecule: long non-coding RNA, 599 nt
Organism: Brachypodium distachyon (stiff brome)
Lineage: Eukaryota; Viridiplantae; Streptophyta; Magnoliopsida; Poales; Poaceae
Exons: 2
Source: RefSeq, a predicted model, not a curated record